RNAcentral lists this ribosomal RNA (442 nucleotides) under uncultured bacterium. Its description in RNAcentral is "partial 16S ribosomal RNA". It matches the Rfam family "Bacterial small subunit ribosomal RNA", at positions 338 to 795 of the family's 1533-position model. The record is from RNAcentral.
CCUACGGGAGGCAGCAGUGGGGAAUAUUGGGCAAUGGGCACAAGCCUGACCCAGCAACGCCGCGUGAAGGAAGAAGGCUUUCGGGUUGUAAACUUCUUUUGUCAGUGAAGAGUAGAAGACGGUACCUGACGAAUAAGCCACGGCUAACUACGUGCCAGCAGCCGCGGUAAUACGUAGGUGGCAAACGUUGUCCGGAUUUACUGGGUGUAAAGGGCGUGUAGCCGGGUUGACAAGUCAGAUGUGAAAUCCUGCGGCUUAACCGCAGAACUGCAUUUGAAACUGUUGAUCUUGAGUACUGGAGAGGCAGACGGAAUUCCUAGUGUAGCGGUGAAAUGCGUAGAUAUUAGGAGGAACACCAGUGGCGAAGGCGGUCUGCUGGACAGCAACUGACGGUGAGGCGCGAAAGCGUGGGGAGCAAACAGGAUUAGAUACCCCAGUAGUC